Molecule: RNase P RNA, 375 nt
Filed under: Salmonella enterica subsp. enterica serovar Cerro
Lineage: Bacteria; Pseudomonadati; Pseudomonadota; Gammaproteobacteria; Enterobacterales; Enterobacteriaceae
Description: RNase P RNA component class A
Rfam family: Bacterial RNase P class A
About the family: Ribonuclease P (RNase P) is a ubiquitous endoribonuclease, found in archaea, bacteria and eukarya as well as chloroplasts and mitochondria. Its best characterised activity is the generation of mature 5'-ends of tRNAs by cleaving the 5'-leader elements of precursor-tRNAs. Cellular RNase Ps are ribonucleoproteins.
Source: RNAcentral
GAAGCUGACCAGACAGUCGCCGCUUCGUCGUCGUCCUUUCGGGGAGACGGGCGGAGGGGAGGAAAGUCCGGGCUCCAUAGGGCAGGGUGCCAGGUAACGCCUGGGGGGGAAACCCACGACCAGUGCAACAGAGAGAAAACCGCCGAUGGCCCACGCAAGUGGGAUCAGGUAAGGGUGAAAGGGUGCGGUAAGAGCGCACCGCGCGGCUGGUAACAGUCCGUGGCACGGUAAACUCCACUCGGAGCAAGGCCAAAUAGGGGUUCAUAAGGUACGGCCCGUACUGAACCCGGGUAGGCUGCUUGAGCCAGUGAGCGAUUGCUGGCCUAGAUGAAUGACUGUCCACGACAGAACCCGGCUUAUCGGUCAGUUUCACCU